UGGGGAAUAUUGCACAAUGGGGGAAACCCUGAUGCAGCGACGCCGCGUGAGCGAAGAAGGCUUUCGAGUCGUAAAGCUCUGUCCUAUGAGAAGAUAAUGACGGUAUCAUAGGAGGAAGCCCUGGCUAAAUACGUGCCAGCAGCCGCGGUAAUACGUAUGGGGCGAGCGUUGUCCGGAAUUAUUGGGCGUAAAGGGUACGUAGGCGGUUUUUUAAGUCAGGUGUCAAAGCGUGGAGCUUAACUCCAUUAAGCACUUGAAACUGAAAGACUUGAGUGAAGGGGAGGAAAGUGGAAUUCCUAGUGUAGCGGUGAAAUGCGUAGAUAUUAGGAGGAAUACCGGUGGCGAAGGCGACUUUCUGGACUUUUACUGACGCUCAGGUACGAAAGCGUGGGAGCAAACAGG
RNAcentral lists this ribosomal RNA (402 nucleotides) under Verrucomicrobiota bacterium. Its description in RNAcentral is "Verrucomicrobia bacterium partial 16S ribosomal RNA". It matches the Rfam family "Bacterial small subunit ribosomal RNA", at positions 355 to 776 of the family's 1533-position model. Lineage: Bacteria; Pseudomonadati; Verrucomicrobiota. The record is from RNAcentral.